Long non-coding RNA from Astatotilapia calliptera (eastern happy), 1245 nucleotides. The record is from Ensembl. NCBI's taxonomy places the organism in Eukaryota, Metazoa, Chordata, Actinopteri, Cichliformes, Cichlidae.
UUUAAGGUGGAAGGGAGGGAUAGCCACUUCCUUUCAGGCCCCAAUCUGAAGAAGGGCCAAAUACAGUCUAACAUAAAUCACUUUAAACUCCGCAGCUUUCGCAGUACCAUUGUUAUAGAGCAGACCAGCGGAAAGAGGCCGGUAGCAGGUGGAAAUAAAAAGCCCUUUGACAACCAUAAGGUAAGAUUCUUCCCAAGAUCACCACAACAUUUACACAAGCCAAAGAGAGCAAUGUCUGGUUGCCAGCACCAGGCUGGACACAUAUACACACCAAUAUUUAGUCAGCGAGACUCUCGUAUACACUGAUACAUGAAUACAUGUAUCAGUGGCAUAGGCAGCUGCAAGAAGCAUGUAAAAACAACAAUGAUGCAGCCACUGACUGCACAGAAAAGCAGACACAGAGCCAGACGGAUGGAUGGAUUCACACUCUUAUUUUUCUCAAGUCCAAAGGAACAUGUAAGUGGUGCGUUGAGCUUAAACAAACACUGUUAAAAUAACAUCUGUUGGCUUCGUUAUAGUGGCUUUAAAAUGUGGUUUGUUGCAGUUGAGUUUGGAGAUGAAAGCAUUAUCAAAUUCAGGAAGGGAAAUGAACAAACAAACUGCUAUUUUUUUCCUUUUCUUUCUUUUUUUUUUUUUUUUCUUGUGCAACAAUAUUUGUUCUGUUGUGUUUUUCUGUCACACAAUUUGCACAGAUUGCCACAUAGGUCACACCCCCUUCAUCUCAGAGCAAUAACUUAGUCAAAUCAAAACACACAGGCAUCUGCCUUCACACACAGACACACACUUUAUAGUGGUCUCCACUGAGGUUAAAUUUCAAAAGAUAAAUAAAUAGUUGGACUGCAUUCAUUUUUUACAGUUAAAAAACUCAGAGGCGAUCAUGGCCUUUUAUUGUGAACAGAUGUACCAAAAUUUACCGAAUCUGAUGCCAUUGCCCCUUGGAGACUUGGGCAGUGAUUUGCAGUGUGCCGAGGACACUUGUUUGUUAAUAACCUGGUCAUUUUGAAAUCAUAGACACUUUCUUUUCAAGCACGCUUCCUCUCAUUAAAUGCAAAACUUCUGGUGGUGAGCCAAUGAGGCUGUUAAAACCUCCCUGCUGUGUACACAGUUUUAAAAAAUUACAAACUUCUCCAUAGCACAGUGAUCUACACAUUUGCCCAACAAGAAAAAGAUCCCUGCUUGACCUGGGAAGAGACACAAAUCCCUUAGGAAUUGCAUCAGGAAAGCCUCCGCUGUAUAAAACCUGCC